RNAcentral lists this ribosomal RNA (253 nucleotides) under uncultured bacterium. RNAcentral's name for it is "partial 16S ribosomal RNA". It matches the Rfam family "Bacterial small subunit ribosomal RNA", at positions 524 to 776 of the family's 1533-position model. The record is from RNAcentral.
UACGGGGGGGGCAAGCGUUGUUCGGAAUUACUGGGCGUAAAGGGCUCGUAGGCGGCCAACUAAGUCAGACGUGAAAUCCCUCGGCUUAACCGGGGAACUGCAUCUGAUACUGGAUGGCUAGAGAUUGGGAGAGGGAUGCGGAAUUCCAGGUGUAGCGGUGAAAUGCGUAGAUAUCUGGAGGAACACCGAUGGCGAAGGCAGCCCCCUGGGCCAACACUGACGCUCAGGCACGAAAGCGUGGGGAGCAAACAGG